Molecule: long non-coding RNA, 1001 nt
Organism: Motacilla alba alba
Lineage: Eukaryota; Metazoa; Chordata; Aves; Passeriformes; Motacillidae
Exons: 3
Source: RefSeq, a predicted model, not a curated record
AGGUUACCUGAGCGAGAGGAAAGCGAUCCCUCCCGAUUAACGAUUGACCCAAGCCCGCGGAGGAGCGCCAGGCGCCCUUUCACCUCCGCUAUCUCCCCGGGCAGGCUCCAGAGGCAGAGCAGCGCUGCCCAGGAAGGACGCCAAAGCCCUCCCCUGCACUGACGCCGCGGGCAGGGAUGGAGAGCCAGCUGCUGCUGUGGGGAAAGUGCCCACUGCCUUCCUCGAGGUCCCUUGUCUUCUGUGAUGCCUCGAGCUGAGGAAGCCAAAAAGCUAUGGCUGCACCAUCUUAUUUGGGACCUGCUGGAGGUGACUGCAGGUGGUGAAGCCAAAGCUCCCCCAGCUGAGGAAAGGGGAUGGCACCUCAUCCUCAUCUGCAGGGGGCUCACCCAAGGCAUCUGCAGUCACCCACGACCCACCCCGAGCUGCUGAGGCUCCUUUAGGACAAAAGGACACGGCCACCUGAGAUUGAACCAUGGACAUCAGUCUUUCUGUGAUCCUGGGGACAAGGAUGGAGAGGGAUGCAUGUGACAGUGGCACCUGCAUCCCCAGGAGAGCCUGGAGGCCCACAGAGGGCAGAAUUACAUCUCCUUUGGGAUGCUUCCUGGAAGCAUGCCAGCCAAGCGGGGUGACCAGUCCUGAGGAGGGGGAUCGCAGCCCCUCCGCCCCCAGCCUCCCCCCAGCCCUCUGUUUACACAACUGGGACAAAUUUCACACCGCUGUCCCCACAGCCCCAGCCCCUCGCUCCCCUGCCCCAAAGAAUUUGUGAGUCACGGCCGAGGCAGAGCUAUAAAUGCGUCCCCACCAAGGGUCUGCAGUGUCACAAGGGACAGCGUCUCCUGCCACCAUGCAAGCUGCUGCCUGCUGCCUGACUGCCCACGGGCUCCGGGUGCCGGUGGCCACUGCCUGCCCACCCCCGGGGCUGGAGCGAGGGGCAAGAGCCUUUCCUCUCUGGAGACCGUGGCUGCCCCGAGCCCAGGAGGGACCCGCGCCGCGGCCAGAGG